This 253-nucleotide ribosomal RNA is filed under the name uncultured bacterium. RNAcentral describes it as "partial 16S ribosomal RNA". It matches the Rfam family "Bacterial small subunit ribosomal RNA", at positions 524 to 776 of the family's 1533-position model. The record is from RNAcentral.
UACGUAGGGUGCGAGCGUUGUCCGGAAUUAUUGGGCGUAAAGGGCUCGUAGGCGGUUUGUCGCGUCGGGAGUGAAAACACUGGGCUUAACCGAGUGCUUGCUUUCGAUACGGGCAGACUAGAGGUAUGCAGGGGAGAACGGAAUUCCUGGUGUAGCGGUGAAAUGCGCAGAUAUCAGGAGGAACACCGAUGGCGAAGGCAGGUCUCUGGGCCACUACUGACGCUGAGAAGCGAAAGCAUGGGGAGCGAACAGG